Molecule: ribosomal RNA, 191 nt
Filed under: uncultured eukaryote
Lineage: Eukaryota
Description: partial 18S ribosomal RNA
Rfam family: Eukaryotic small subunit ribosomal RNA
Source: RNAcentral
GGGAAACUUACCAAGGCCAAACAGAGGUGGGAUUGACAGAUUGAGAGCUCUUUCUUGAUUCUUUGGGUGGUGGUGCAUGGCCGUUCUUAGUUGGUGGAGUGAUUUGUGGCUUAAUUUGACUCAACACGGGAAAUCUCACCAGGCCCGGCUACUGGAAGGAUUGACAGAUUGAUAUUGAUAUUGAGCAAUAA